This 671-nucleotide ribosomal RNA is filed under the name Trichoderma viride. Its description in RNAcentral is "SSU rRNA". It matches the Rfam family "Eukaryotic small subunit ribosomal RNA", at positions 84 to 762 of the family's 1831-position model. The record is from RNAcentral. Lineage: Eukaryota; Fungi; Ascomycota; Sordariomycetes; Hypocreales; Hypocreaceae.
ACACUGCGAAUGGCUCAUUAUAUAAGUUAUCGUUUAUUUGAUAAUACUUUACUACUUGGAUAACCGUGGUAAUUCUAGAGCUAAUACAUGCUAAAAAUCCCGACUUCGGAAGGGUUGUAUUUAUUAGAUUAAAAACCAAUGCCCCUCGGGGCUCUCUGGUGAAUCAUGAUAACUAGUCGAAUCGACAGGCCUUGUGCCGGCGAUGGCUCAUUCAAAUUUCUUCCCUAUCAACUUUCGAUGUUUGGGUCUUGUCCAAACAUGGUGGCAACGGGUAACGGAGGGUUAGGGCUCGACCCCGGAGAAGGAGCCUGAGAAACGGCUACUACAUCCAAGGAAGGCAGCAGGCGCGCAAAUUACCCAAUCCCGACACGGGGAGGUAGUGACAAUAAAUACUGAUACAGGGCUCUUUUGGGUCUUGUAAUCGGAAUGAGUACAAUUUAAAUCCCUUAACGAGGAACAAUUGGAGGGCAAGUCUGGUGCCAGCAGCCGCGGUAAUUCCAGCUCCAAUAGCGUAUAUUAAAGUUGUUGUGGUUAAAAAGCUCGUAGUUGAACCUUGGGCCUGGCUGGCCGGUCCGCCUCACCGCGUGCACUGGUCCGGCCGGGCCUUUCCCUCUGCGGAACCCCAUGCCCUUCACUGGGUGUGGCGGGGAAACAGGACUUUUACUUUGAAA